Molecule: long non-coding RNA, 3860 nt
Filed under: Olea europaea subsp. europaea
Lineage: Eukaryota; Viridiplantae; Streptophyta; Magnoliopsida; Lamiales; Oleaceae
Source: RNAcentral
AUUAUUUCAAAUUUUGACAGUCUAGUAUAAUGAAAGAUUGACAAGAACACAGAACGACAUGAGUCAGAAUUUUUCGGGAUUUACCCAUCUUUUGAUUUCUAUUCCUCCGUAUCUCAGAGCUUUUUUACUGGGCUUUUUGACUCACCUUCGAAUCCCAAGUUUUGCAAAGAGGAAAGUCCCACUUCAUCUUGCGCUGUUUUCUUCUUCAAUACGCGGGUUUUUUACAUAUUACAUGGAAAGGGAAAUAAAGAAUUAAGAAAAAUGAGCGUUUCUUUGACGGUAAUGACCUUUAAUCUUCUUGAAGAUCAGGUAGAAGGCAGCCCAAAUUCAUGGGAUAAAAGGAAGGAUUUGUGUGUAACAGUCAUCACCAGUUACUCUCCAAUGAUUCUUUGCACCCAACAAGGUUCGUGUUUGAUUAGUUUGUCGGAAAACUAAUAUAUCUCUGGAUCUUGAUCGUUUAUUGCAUUUGGGCCUGCUUGGAUUUACCAUUUGGAGAUCGGUAUCGUUUGUUUUUAGAAAUUGUUAAGAUUUAUUUUUGGAAAAAGUGACAAUGGCGGUUCGACUGUUUUUUUUUUUUUUUCCUUUUUUAUUUUUUUGUUGAUUUUGAUUGAUUUUAAGAAUUUUUUUCUUUUGUUUUUGCACGUGGUUAGGCUUGAAGACACAAUUGGAUUAUCUUCAGCAAUGCUUGCCUGGUAAAGUUCUUCAUUAUUUGGUUGAUAGAUCGCAUUAGAAGAAAUUUUGAGUUUUUCUUUUUGACUGUCAUUAAAAAAGGGGGAAAUGCUCAAGAGAUUUCAUCUUGUAGAAAUAAAAUGGACCUGCUUAUGUAUCAUUGAAAUCGACCCUCUUGCUCAAGAACUAUGGAAUAAGAUAAAAUUUAUAAUUCAACUCAAUUUUUGUAAUCAGCUAAAGUCAAGUUAUAUUGGCAACUUCUCAGUUUUUAUUUUAUUUUCUUUUUUGAGUUAAGAUAACUAGUAUCAACUCAUGUUAAGGCUCUAAUUGCUUCAAAUGAAAUGUUUUUGGUUUUAAAAACUUAUCCGGGGGGAAAAAAAUUUAUGAAAAAGAAACUUUGUGAUACCUUUAUCUUUGAGCUGCUGACUACUAGCAAUAGCCAGUAAAUGCUAACAUGGAGGGGUCUUGUGCAAUUUGUCGUGGUUUCUGAUGACUAUCUAGUUGUUACUGGUGACAAGUAUAUGGUGGUCAGGGACUGGUGACAGUCUGCUGUGAUGGUUAAAUAACUUAAGACUACUGGAUGGUGCUUGCAAUGCUUGCUUCAUGGAUGUCAAUGACUGCAAGGUAUCCUCAGGCAACUGUACAGUAGUUGCUGGUAGCUUACAGGUGUUCGUUGGUCGGUGGUCUGUGUUUGAUGUCAUCACUGGCAGGGUGGUAAUAGGUAGUGGUUAUCCAGUGGCUGCUGGUGGUUUUGCACAAAAAAUUUCCCAUGUGUAAAUGGAGAAAACAUCUUUAUUCAAAUUAACUUAGCUUUCCUUCAACCAGAAAAAACAUUUUUUGUCAAUCAAUUGAAAUUUUAUACACUGAACAUCAGAAAAUGUGGAAAAAAAUUUCACUAGUAUAACAAUCAGAGAUUAAGUGGAAAGGAUAGAACUAUUGGCUUUGUCUGAUUGAAAUCUGUGGGUGGUAUAUGAGAUCAUGGCAGUUGAAAUAUCUUCUGACCAUCCCGACGCAGCACUCACUUAAACACCAUUACUUUUACUUUCUGAUAAGAAAAUACGUGCCUGCAUUUCUAAGUUAGUAUUUCUGGUUAUGCUUUAAAAUCAAGGAUAUUGUGUCUAUUAAGUUGAUGAUGACGGUCCUUAUAUUGAAUAAUCUCUUAUAGUCGGAUUAUCUACCAGCUACUAGGUGAACAAGUUGAAAGAAGUCUCCUUAGAAUUGUUUAAUUGGUGGAUGAAUACCCAACACCUAGAAAGAACCUGAAGGCUGGAGAAUAAGGUGUUCAGCACUUGGAAAAGAAGCUCUAAAGUAUUGCAAAAGUUGAUGCAUACUUUGGUUCACCUUGAGUUUAAAGAGUUGAGAAUGUCACAAUAUCAGCUGUUUCCUGGUAGACUGAGUCUUGCUUGAUAGCAUAGGCAUAUGUGGUGUAUCUAUUUGUUAAUUUUUGUCCAAACAAUUAUAUCUUGUAGAAUUUUUUAUUGGGUGUCAAAUGGAAAGUUGUUAAAAUUUUGUUAAUAAAUUAACAAUAUAAAGAGUCGUUCGUAACCAAAUUAGAUGAAUUUGCCACACUGGACUUCAUGUGGUUUCAUUGCUGGUCAUAGUAGCUUUUGGUUUUCAGAUGAGCCAGUAUAUGGUACGGGGCGUAAAAGCAUAAUGAGCACAUAAAGAUUUGCACAAAGUGAUGGAGGAGAUGAGCAGGAAUACAUCAGAGAUAAUACUUCAAACAGAUUGAUAUGAAUUUAUACUUUAGUUCUAAAUUUCUAAAAUGUAGAGUUAUUAAGGGAUAGGCGAGUGAGUGUUCUCUGAUAAAUGGCCACAUUGUGUGGUUGAAUAGAUUUAUGAAAGAAUGGAAUGAAAUAGAAUAAAAUUGGGAUAUCCCAUUUGUGGCAUAUUUUAGACAGAAUAUACAAGUCAAGCUAUAUUGCCGUUGUUGAUUCUGUUUGGUUGUUCGUCAAUAAUGCUGAAAGUGAUACCUGUAAAAUUACUAUGUAUAACCUUGUAUUAACAAAAUUUGUACUACUACAUUACAAUCAUAAUCUAAUCAAUUAUUGGUCACAAUAAACAAAUGCAAUGUAGUAAAGCAUGCCUUUCCCGUGCUUUUUAGAAGUUCUAUGCCAUGCCACUGCAGAAGAGCAUGGUGCAAUAAGUCUCACAUUGGUAAGUGUUAGCUUAGGCUCAAGCCUAGAUAUCUUUUAAACAACUAUCAUGGAGCGUAGAAGUAGUGGGUGGACAGGGAAGAUGCCAUCAGUAGAGGUGUUGGUAUCCGGAUAUAUAAAAUGGUAAAGAGCUUUUAUCUUUUGAGCAUCGAUUCCCAAUGUUAUCCAAGUCUUGGUCAUUCAUCCAAAUAAUAACUGUUUUGAUGGUAAUGUUUUAUAUAACGUGGAAAUUACAAGCUAAUGUUAUAAUCCUUUGCAAUAACUCAUUUCUCUUGAAUUGGUAUAUUCUAUAUGAUGUGCAACUCAUUCUCUCCAAUGAAAUAGAUUAUGAACAUUUUGGAAUAUCAAGGAAAGGAUCUGACGACACUUCAGAUCAACAUUGCACUAUCUUUUAUGAUAAGGAAAAGGUGAAAUAUCUAACUCUUUUUCUUUAUCAGGAAAAUCAAAAAUAUAAUUUCUUUCUAAAACAUUACCUAAUUGAUGCAGGUUGAGCUGCUGGAAGGUGGAACUUUUUGGUUGUCAGAGUCGCCUUCAGUGCCUGGAAGCACAUCAUGGGGGUCUGCAGAUCCAUGCAUUGCAACGUGGGCUAUAUCCUUUAGCGCUUCUAUAAGGUGUCUUAAAUUAUUAUUUGCCGCAUAGUACUACUGCAUGCAAUAACUGUGCGAACUUUGUUUACCUUGAUAAAUUGUGUACACAUUCCAACUAAAAGGAGUUGAGCCACCGGGUUUUUCGUUUGAAAUCGUGAAUACAAACAUGGAUGAGUUCAGUCCUCGUGCUCGUAGGCGGGGUGCUUUGCUCACAUGGCAGCAUAUUGCAUCCUUACCUCCUAGCUUGCCUGUUGUGUAUUGUGGAGGAUUUAAUACACAAAAGGAAUCAACUACAGGACGUUUUCUUCUUGGACGAUCAAGGUAUUACUUUCAGUUUCUAUAUGUCGUUCAUCUUUUAGCAAAUCUAUCCUCUUUUCUUUUCUCGUACUAGUAAAGCUCAACUUGAUCAAUAGCAGUUAUAUUCACACAUGAAUCAAGUGAUCCUGGU